This is a long non-coding RNA of Pygocentrus nattereri (red-bellied piranha), 354 nucleotides long. NCBI's taxonomy places the organism in Eukaryota, Metazoa, Chordata, Actinopteri, Characiformes, Serrasalmidae. The record is from Ensembl.
GCCUCUCUGAGGAGUGUGAGGAGGACAGUUCCACCUCCAAUAAACACUCAGAUCUAGUCCAGCGGGAGAGAUCAGAUUCUUCAGCUCCCAGCUGUGUGUCCCUAAAGAGUGAUGAGUCUAAAGAUUGUCCACUGUGGUUUAAAAAUGGAGACCCCUUAUCUGGACCCAGUCUAGUCCAGCCGGAGAGAUCUGAUUCUUUGGCUCCCAGCUGUGGGUCCCUUAAAAGAGAUGAGUCUAAAGAUUGUCCACUGUGGUUUAAAGAUGGAGACCCCUCAUCUGGACACAGGUAACAGCUCCUCACAGUUCAGCCCUCAGACUCUCCAGUACUGAGUUGUAUUAUGGAUUCUGUGCAGG